Molecule: ribosomal RNA, 255 nt
Filed under: uncultured bacterium
Lineage: Bacteria
Description: partial 16S ribosomal RNA
Rfam family: Bacterial small subunit ribosomal RNA
Source: RNAcentral
UACGUAGGGUGCAAGCGUUGUCCGGAAUUAUUGGGCGUAAAGAGCUCGUAGGCGGUCUGUCACGUCGGCUGUGAAAACCCGAGGCUCAACCUCGGGCCUGCAGUCGAUACGGGCAAACUAGAGUACUGCAGGGGAGACUGGAAUUCCUGGUGUAGCGGUGAAAUGCGCAGAUAUCAGGAGGAACACCGGUGGCGGAAGGCGGGUCUCUGGGCCGGUACUGACGCUGGAGGUGCGAAAGCGUGGGGAGCAAACAGG